This 189-nucleotide non-coding RNA is filed under the name Desulfotignum phosphitoxidans. Lineage: Bacteria; Pseudomonadati; Thermodesulfobacteriota; Desulfobacteria; Desulfobacterales; Desulfobacteraceae. The record is from RNAcentral. RNAcentral also lists the same sequence under 1 other name.
AAUCAGAGCAUACGCCAAGGUGCUCAUUUUUGAGCUUGAAAGGGAACCCUGUGAAAGUCAGGGACGGGCCCGCCGCUGUAAACGGGGACCACCGCCGCAACCAUGUCACUGUAUCAUAAUUGGUAUGGGAAGACGCGGCCAGUAGGAUGAUCCGUGAGCCAGAAGACCUGCCUGGGGUGAUUUUGGAUU